Non-coding RNA from Equus caballus (horse), 1132 nucleotides. NCBI's taxonomy places the organism in Eukaryota, Metazoa, Chordata, Mammalia, Perissodactyla, Equidae. The record is from RefSeq and is a predicted model, not a curated record.
AAGAAAAAAAUAUUGACCAUUAUACUAAAACAUCUAAAGAGAAUGUUGUAGAAGACGACUUUAGAAGACUUAAACCUUUAAUCUACAUACAGUUUAUGUAUUUAAGAUGCUGGAGGUAUACCCAAGAUGUAAAAAUGUUCGGUGAUGUGCUUGUAGUUCUCAACCCUAGCUACACUUUAGACUCAACUCGGCGAACAUUUACAGGUGUCCACAUCAAUUAAAUCAGAAUCUUCUGGAAGUAGGGCCUUGGCAUGGAUAUGUUCAAAAGCUCUCCCAGGUGAUCCUAAUGUACUGUCAGGACCAACAACCUCAGUCUGCUUCAAUGAUCUUUCUUCCUCUGUAUUAAAUGAAAGAUGGAGCAUAUGAAAUAUUUAAGCUUCUUUCUUCAGAAGAGGUCCUCAAAAAAGAACAAUGUCAAAGUAGAAAUUCAAUAGCUGGAAACUAAGUUUUAAAUCAGAGGCAAACUCAAAUACUCACAGGAGCCAGAAAAUGAAAAUCUGAUUUUAAAUGAUGAUUUAAAGAUAUAUACUGUGCAGACCAAAGAAAACACGCCGCAUAACCUCAGACCCUAUCUGGGCUCUGGGCCUCUGUUUUACACAGCUGUCUUUAGGUCAAGUAGUCAGCUUUUUCCUAAGACUAUUAGAGCUUAAAACAAACCUGAAACAAACCCUGUUCCUACUUAUAGUAAAUUGGAAGAAAAAAAGGGAACAAGAAUCUGUAAAACUCAUGGGAUUCUUUUGAAGAAAGAUUCUAACGGUUAUCUACAGAAAUAAUCAUAGGUUUCUGUUCCUCUACUAGUGCAUCAUGUGGAAGCAACAACACAGAUUUCCCCCAAAUGUAGAGGCAGUCUGCUUAAAGCGGGACAGCGCUAGGAGAGACAAUUAUCCUCCACAGCAGCAGAAACUGAUGUUGGAUGACAGGCCGUGAGAUCACUGACUGGAAAACACGCCGUCCCUACGCUUUAAGACUCUGGAUUGAGAAAACCUGAGGCCAAGGGUCAACCUCUUCGAAUUGUAGAUGCUGAUUUGCUGCUCUUCUCAGGCAACCCUACAUAGAGUGCCCCACUUAGGAAUUUCUGUAUUUUACAAUGGCGAACUAAUUCUCAAUAAAGAGCGUGGGGACAGCUGGUUCA